This 677-nucleotide long non-coding RNA is filed under the name Homo sapiens (human). RNAcentral's name for it is "HSALNT0316426". Lineage: Eukaryota; Metazoa; Chordata; Mammalia; Primates; Hominidae. The record is from RNAcentral.
CCUUGCACCUGGAUCAAUGGGCUGCCCUAAUGAAGGAUAUCAAAAAUGAAGGGGCAGCUAAAGAAAAAUAAAAGACACCUCAGAAAGUAGCCUGCCUCUUUGACAAGGGACAUGCCUUCAGAGGAACAUAACAGAAACCUCUGAGAAUUGUCAACAAUAAAAAGACUGAGCAACAAGGGAAACUGGUAGGAAGCCAAAGGUUUUAAGAGGUGAGAGUGGAGAAAUGCUGUGCUUUUAUUGAUCCUCUCCAAAGGAACACCUUUAAAAAAGGCAAAAAUCAAGUUACCAGGAAAAUAUUUUUUAAAAACCACGAACAGUCUAAGAGCACUGAACAUUUUGAAUCAUUUGCCUUUUCUCAACACUGGAUUUUAAGCAAGGAACAAGACUAUUCCAGUUCUAAAUGCUUUAAUGAACAAGGGGUAUUGGGUUUUAGCAUCAACAUGAUCUAUCCUCACUCUGAAGCUUUAACUUGAGUAGCUGCUGUGCUUUGUAAAGCUUCAAUCCAAUUCAUUUGAUAACUACAAUUACCAAAUCUGGGCAUUGCUGACUACACAGUUCAAAAAAACAGCAUGGAGGGAAGACCUGCUGAGAACCUUAGAAUCUAUCGAUAAGCUCUUGAAAUGGUUUAAAGUAAUAAACCACUUCAAUUGAAAGGGCAAUAAAAUGUUUUUCGUGUA